Molecule: transfer RNA, 83 nt
Filed under: Mycobacterium phage Phabba
Lineage: Duplodnaviria; Heunggongvirae; Uroviricota; Caudoviricetes
Description: tRNA-Ser
Source: RNAcentral
GGAGGGUGAGUAUCAGGUGAUACAGCGAGAUUGCUAAUCCCGUACGGCUCAUACCCGUGAGGUUCAAGUCCUCCUCCCUCCGC